AGGAGAAGAAUGCUGCUCAGCUGGGUCGGCGAAGCUCUUGGAUAUCAUCAGCAUCUAUGAAGGCACCGGUAGGCACAGAGUCAUUCCGGUAGGCACGGAGUCGUUCCUCGAUGGACGUGAUGACCUGGCACCAAAACCGCUUAAUGUGUAUGAAGCUGUCUGCAUCGAGGGAAGAACCCAGUACUGAAAUGACACAAGUAAAAGGAGAAGAAUGCUGCUCAGCUGGGUCGGCGGUCACACUACUUAUUCAAGAAGCUCUUGGAUAUCAUUGGCAUGUAUGCAGGCACCGGUAGGCACAGAGUCAUUCCGGUAGGCACGGAGUCGUUCCUCGAUGGACAUGAUGACCUGGCACCAAAACCGCUUAAUGUGUAUGAAGCUGUCUGCAUCGAGGGAAGAACCCAGUGCUGAAAUGACACAAGUAAAAGGAGAAGAAUGCUGCUCAGCUGGGUCGGCGGUCACACUACUUAUUCAAGAAGCUCUUGGAUAUCAUUGGCAUGUA
Molecule: long non-coding RNA, 499 nt
Organism: Engraulis encrasicolus (European anchovy)
Lineage: Eukaryota; Metazoa; Chordata; Actinopteri; Clupeiformes; Engraulidae
Exons: 5
Source: RefSeq, a predicted model, not a curated record